RNAcentral lists this ribosomal RNA (255 nucleotides) under uncultured bacterium. RNAcentral describes it as "partial 16S ribosomal RNA". It matches the Rfam family "Bacterial small subunit ribosomal RNA", at positions 524 to 776 of the family's 1533-position model. The record is from RNAcentral.
UACGAAGGGGGCUAGCGUUGCUCGGAAUCACUGGGCGUAAAGCGCACGUAGGCGGCUUGUUAAGUCAGGGGUGAAAUCCUGGAGCUCAACUCCAGAACUGCCUUUGAUACUGGCGAGCUUGAGUUCGGGAGAGGUGAGUGGAACUGCGAGUGUAGAGGUGAAAUUCGUAGAUAUUCGCAAGAACACCAGUGGCGAAGGCAGCACCCUGGGCCGGUACUGACGCUGAGGAGACGAAAGCGGUGGGGAGCAAACAGG